GAUGAACGCUGGCGGCGUGCCUAAUACAUGCAAGUCGAGCGAACGGACGCGAAGCUUGCUUCUCUGAUGUUAGCGGCGGACGGGUGAGUAACACGUGGAUCCCCUCCCUAUAAGAGUGGGAUCAUUUCGGGAAACCGGCGAUAAUCCCGGAUAAUAUUUUGAACCGCAUGGUUCAAAAGUGAAAGACGGUCUUGCUGUCACUUCUAGAUGGUUACGCGCUGCAUUAGCUAGUUGGUAAGGUCAAGGCUUUCCACGGCAACUAUGCCUAGCCGACCUGAGAGGGGGAUCGCCCACACGGGAGCUGAGACGCGGUCCUGACGCCUGCGAGACGCAGCAGUAUGGAACCUGCCGCAAUGGGCGAAAGCCUGACGGAGCAACGCGGCGUGAGUGAUGGAGGUCUCCCGAGCGUAAAGCUCGGUUACUAGUUAAGAACAUAUUUGUAAGUAACUGUACACAUCGUGACGGUACCUAAUCAGGAAGCCACGGCUAACUACGUG
Molecule: ribosomal RNA, 497 nt
Filed under: uncultured bacterium
Lineage: Bacteria
Description: partial 16S ribosomal RNA
Rfam family: Bacterial small subunit ribosomal RNA
Source: RNAcentral